This 504-nucleotide ribosomal RNA is filed under the name uncultured bacterium. RNAcentral's name for it is "partial 16S ribosomal RNA". It matches the Rfam family "Bacterial small subunit ribosomal RNA", at positions 30 to 523 of the family's 1533-position model. The record is from RNAcentral.
AUUGAACGCUGGCGGCAGGCCUAACACAUGCAAGUCGAACGGUAGCACAGAGAGCUUGCUCUCGGGUGACGAGUGGCGGACGGGUGAGUAAUGUCUGGGAAACUGCCCGAUGGAGGGGGAUAACUACUGGAAACGGUAGCUAAUACCGCAUAACGUCGCAAGACCAAAGUGGGGGACCUUCGGGCCUCACACCAUCGGAUGUGCCCAGAUGGGAUUAGCUAGUAGGUGGGGUAAUGGCUCACCUAGGCGACGAUCGCUAGCUGGUCUGAGAGGAUGACCAGCCACACUGGAACUGAGACACGGUCCAGACUCCUACGGGAGGCAGCAGUGGGGAAUAUUGCACAAUGGGCGCAAGCCUGAUGCAGCCAUGCCGCGUGUAUGAAGAGGGCCUUCGGGUUGUAAAGUACUUUCAGCGGGGAGGAAGGCGGUGAAGUUAAUAACUUCACCGAUUGACGUUACCCGCAGAAGAAGCACCGGCUAACUCCGUGCCAGCCGCCGCAGUAA